Molecule: ribosomal RNA, 465 nt
Filed under: Vreelandella stevensii
Lineage: Bacteria; Pseudomonadati; Pseudomonadota; Gammaproteobacteria; Oceanospirillales; Halomonadaceae
Description: partial 16S ribosomal RNA
Rfam family: Bacterial small subunit ribosomal RNA
Source: RNAcentral
CCUACGGGGGGCAGCAGUGGGGAAUAUUGGACAAUGGGGGCAACCCUGAUCCAGCCAUGCCGCGUGUGUGAAGAAGGCCCUCGGGUUGUAAAGCACUUUCAGUGAGGAAGAACGCCUGGUGGUUAAUACCCAUCAGGAAAGACAUCACUCACAGAAGAAGCACCGGCUAACUCCGUGCCAGCAGCCGCGGUAAUACGUAGGGUGCGAGCGUUAAUCGGAAUUACUGGGCGUAAAGCGCGCGUAGGUGGCUUGAUAAGCCGGUUGUGAAAGCCCCGGGCUCAACCUGGGAACGGCAUCCGGAACUGUCAAGCUAGAGUGCAGGAGAGGAAGGUAGAAUUCCCGGUGUAGCGGUGAAAUGCGUAGAGAUCGGGAGGAAUACCAGUGGCGAAGGCGGCCUUCUGGACUGACACUGACACUGAGGUGCGAAAGCGUGGGUAGCAAACAGGAUUAGAUACCCGUGUAGUC